UCUUAGGAACCUCCGCUCAGGUAAAACUGA
RNAcentral lists this non-coding RNA (30 nucleotides) under Rattus norvegicus (Norway rat). The record is from RNAcentral. Lineage: Eukaryota; Metazoa; Chordata; Mammalia; Rodentia; Muridae.